RNAcentral lists this ribosomal RNA (504 nucleotides) under Triticum aestivum (bread wheat). RNAcentral's name for it is "partial small subunit ribosomal RNA". The record is from RNAcentral. Lineage: Eukaryota; Viridiplantae; Streptophyta; Magnoliopsida; Poales; Poaceae.
AUGACGGAGAUCACACGCUCCUUCGACCAGGCGCGGCCAGCCUCCAUCUCCGGCCACUUUGGCCUCGCCCCCGACCUUGCUCGUUGCUCCUUCGACCACACGCUCCGCCGCGAGCUGUCGCAAGCUGAGCUGAAUCUUGUUGGGUUGAGCCGAGCAAGGUCACCGUCGGUUGUGACUUGUUGGAGUCUUCUCCUGGUAGCAACAACAGGCUUUGGCUUGAAGGCCCCAACAACCACUGACUAUUGUGAUGGAAACUCAUUUGAUUUGCUGCGUAUCAUCAAACAGCUGUUGCUCUCUCUAAGUCCUCACGCUGCUGCUGCUAACCAUGUUGUUGCUCCUCUAUUUCUGCGCCUCCUGCUGCUUGCCUCUUCUCUGAAUCCACUAAACCCACUGCUGCACUUCUUCUCUGAACCUGUUUCUUGCUGCUCGCUGCUACUCCUCUCUCCAUCCCCACGAUUGCUUCUUCUUCUCCUAACCUCGCUGCUGGUCUUCUCUAAAGUCUGA